RNAcentral lists this ribosomal RNA (48 nucleotides) under Tetradesmus obliquus. RNAcentral describes it as "23S rRNA exon 2". The record is from RNAcentral. Lineage: Eukaryota; Viridiplantae; Chlorophyta; Chlorophyceae; Sphaeropleales; Scenedesmaceae.
UUUAUCAGCCCUUAGAGUUCCAAUCGACGGGCUGGUUUGACACCUCGA